UACGUAGGGUGCAAGCGUUGUCCGGAAUUAUUGGGCGUAAAGCGCAUGUAGGUGGACUGUUAAGUUUGAUGUGAAAGCCCCGGGCUUAACCUGGGAACGGCGUUGAAAACUGGCAGUCUUGAAUCAGUCAGAGGGUCGUGGAGUUUCCGGUGUAGCGGUGAAAUGCGUAGAGAUCGGAAAGAACACCAGUGGCGAAGGCGGCGACCUGGGACCAGAUUGACACUGAGGUGCGAAAGCGUGGGGAGCAAACAGG
Molecule: ribosomal RNA, 253 nt
Filed under: uncultured bacterium
Lineage: Bacteria
Description: partial 16S ribosomal RNA
Rfam family: Bacterial small subunit ribosomal RNA
Source: RNAcentral